RNAcentral lists this ribosomal RNA (252 nucleotides) under uncultured Bacteroidales bacterium. Its description in RNAcentral is "partial 16S ribosomal RNA". It matches the Rfam family "Bacterial small subunit ribosomal RNA", at positions 524 to 776 of the family's 1533-position model. The record is from RNAcentral. Lineage: Bacteria; Pseudomonadati; Bacteroidota; Bacteroidia; Bacteroidales.
UACGGAGGAUGCGAGCGUUAUCCGGAUUUAUUGGGUUUAAAGGGUGCGUAGGCGGCGAGUUAAGUCAGCGGUAAAAGCCCGGGGCUCAACCCCGGCGAGCCGUUGAAACUGGCUGUCUUGAGAUGUCGAGAGGUAUGCGGAAUGCGUGGUGUAGCGGUGAAAUGCAUAGAUAUCACGCAGAACUCCGAUUGCGAAGGCAGCAUACCGGCGCUCAACUGACGCUCAUGCACGAAAGCGUGGGGAGCAAACAGG